Molecule: transfer RNA, 67 nt
Filed under: Microcerotermes baluchistanicus
Lineage: Eukaryota; Metazoa; Arthropoda; Insecta; Blattodea; Termitidae
Description: tRNA-Pro
Source: RNAcentral
CAGGGGGUAUUUUAUUUAAAAUGUUAGUUUUGGGGAUUAACGAAAUGGUGUUUAACCUUUCCCCUGA